UUGACCUCGGAUCAGGUAGGGAUACCCGCUGAACUUAAGCAUAUCU
RNAcentral lists this ribosomal RNA (46 nucleotides) under Botrytis cinerea. RNAcentral describes it as "partial 28S large subunit ribosomal RNA". The record is from RNAcentral. RNAcentral also lists the same sequence under 4 other names. Lineage: Eukaryota; Fungi; Ascomycota; Leotiomycetes; Helotiales; Sclerotiniaceae.